Non-coding RNA from Gorilla gorilla gorilla (western lowland gorilla), 1347 nucleotides. Lineage: Eukaryota; Metazoa; Chordata; Mammalia; Primates; Hominidae. The record is from the annotation of a RefSeq genome assembly.
AUGCUGUCACUGCUCCACGCAUCAACGCUGGCAGUCCUUGGGGCUCUGUGUGUAUAUGGUGCAGGUCACCUAGAGCAACCUCAAAUUUCCAGUACUAAAAUGCUGUCAAAAACAGCCCGCCUGGAAUGUGUGGUGUCUGGAGUAACAAUUUCUGCAACAUCUGUAUAUUGGUAUCGAGAAAGACCUGGUGAAGUCAUACAGUUCCUGGUGUCCAUUUCAUAUGACGGCACAGUCAGAAAGGAAUCCGGCAUUCCGUCAGGCAAAUUUGAGGUGGAUAGGAUACCUGAAACGUCUACAUCCACUCUCACCAUUCACAAUGUAGAGAAACAGGACAUAGCUACCUACUACUGUGCCUUGUGGGAGUUGGGCAAAAAAAUCAAGGUAUUUGGUCCCGGAACAAAGCUUAUCAUUACAGAUAAACACCUUGAUGCAGAUGUUUCCCCCAAGCCCACUAUUUUUCUUCCUUCAAUUGCUGAAACAAAGCUCCAGAAGGCUGGAACAUACCUUUGUCUUCUUGAGAAAUUUUUCCCGGAUAUUAUUAAGAUACAUUGGCAAGAAGAGAAGAGCAACACGAUUCUGCGAUCCCAGGAGGGGAACACCAUGAAGACUAACGACACAUACAUGAAAUUUAGCUGGUUAACGGUGCCAGAAAAGUCACUGAAGAAAGAACACAGAUGUAUCGUCAGACAUGAGAAUAAUAAAAACGGAGUUGAUCAAGAAAUUAUCUUUCCUCCAAUAAAGACAGAUGUCAUCACAAUGGAUCCCAAAGACAAUUGUUCAAAAGAUGCAAAUGAUACACUACUGCUGCAGCUCACAAACACCUCUGCAUAUUACAUGUACCUCCUCCUGCUCCUCAAGAGUGUGGUCUAUUUUGCCAUCAUCACCUGCUGUCUGCUUAGAACAACGGCUUUCUGCUGCAAUGGAGAGAGAUCGUAACAGACGGUGGCACAAGGAAGCCAUCGUUUCCUCAUCGGUUAUUGUCCCUAGAAGUGUCUUCUGAGGAUCUAGUUGGGCUUUCUUUCUGGGUUUGGGCCAUUUCAGUUCUCAUGUGUGUACUAUUCUAUCAUCAUUGUAUAAUGGUUUUCAAACCAGUGGGCACACAGAAAACCUCACUCUGUAAUAACAGUGAGGAAUAGCCACGGCGAUCUUCAGCACCAAUCUCUCCAUGUUUUCCACAGCUCCUCCAGCCAACCCAAAUAGCGCCUGCUAUAGUGUAGACAGCCUGCGGCUUCUAGCCUUGUCCCUCUCUUAGUGUUCUUUAAUCACAUAACUGCCUGGAAGCCUUUCAUUUUACACGCCCUGAAGCAGUCUUCUUUGCUAGUUGAAUUAUGUGGUGUGUUUUUUGUA